Molecule: RNA transcript, 2650 nt
Organism: Bombus terrestris (buff-tailed bumblebee)
Lineage: Eukaryota; Metazoa; Arthropoda; Insecta; Hymenoptera; Apidae
Gene name: tachykinin-like peptides receptor 86C
Exons: 12
Source: RefSeq, a predicted model, not a curated record
UUCUUGGGUAUGCACGGUUAUCGCAGUCUCGCAUUGUUAGGCUGAUAGACGCGUUUUUUGUGGUGAGAAUGUGAAUCGGACCUAUCGACAACCAUGUCGGGCAUUAUUAAAUAAAUUUUCAUUUAAAUAAUUAUCUAAACAGAGGCAAGGAUUCUCAAGGAUAACAAAUGCGCGCAAUCACUCAUAUGUACGUGGUGGAUACUUUGCUCGAUUCCUAUCAACGAUACAUGAAUAUUAAAACAGCGGCGCUGUGUAUUAUUUUCGAGAUAAAGCCGUAUAAAAGUGGAACUGAUAAAACAAGUUCGCCAACAAAGAUGAGUUCUUGAACAAACUUUGGAACUAUCCUAUGCAAUACACUAAGAGAAGAUGUUCUGAAUUGCUACCGGUAACGAUUAGUUAAUACGUAGAUUUAACGCCACAACGAUUUGAAAAGGGGAAAGACAACGUAAAUUUCACAUAAAUUUACGGGAAUUCACGUAAAAAGACGAGAGAAUUUCACCCAAAUUGUUCGCAUCUGGAUACUGUUGUCGUUCUUAAAAAGUGCUGGUUUUUGUCAGGCUCAAAAUAUGGACAACUUGUUUUCGUAUGGCUUGUACAACUGCAGUACUAUAAUUCUCAGACGAGACAUCACAAUCUUGUUGAUGUUAAAUCGUAGCGAACUUCUUAAUAUAUUGCAAAACGCUUUGGAUAGUUCUACGGAACGGCAAGUUCUACAUGAUGCUUUUUUAGAUUGUUUAUUUAAUUAUCAAGAGCGGCCGUUUGACUUAUCAUGGUGGCAAAAGUUGUUCUGGUCCCUGAUAUUCGCUGCAAUGCUGUUGGUGGCAACCGGUGGCAACAUCAUCGUCAUAUGGAUCGUACUUGCACAUCAACGGAUGCGCACGGUCACCAACUAUUUUUUAGUUAACCUUUCCGUGGCUGACCUGAUGAUGUCAUUACUUAACUGUGUUUUCAACUUCAUUUUUCUACUGAAUUCUGACUGGCCAUUUGGCGUGGUAUACUGCACUAUCAACAACUUUGUAGCGCAUGUCACGGUCUCUUCAAGUGUCCUCACUCUUGUAACCAUUUCCUUCGAUAGAUAUAUGGCCAUUAUGAGGCCUCUGAAACAUCAUAUGUCUCGGAAAAAGACGGUAAUGAUUGUUUUUCUAAUAUGGGUCAUCUCUUCAAUUUUGGCUGUACCAUGUUUGUUAUAUUCAACAACAGAGUCUAGAAGGUAUUCGAAUGGCACGACUAGGAUUUCGUGUUAUUUGGUAUGGCCAGACGGAACUUAUAUGCACAGCAGAAUUGAAUACUUUUAUAACAUCGUAUUUUUGAGCGUAACGUAUCUAGUACCUAUGGCGUUGAUGGCAAUAUGUUAUACCCUAAUGGGUCGAAAACUCUGGGGCUCAAAAUCCAUAGGAGAGCUAACGUAUUACCAAAAGAAAUCAAUAAAAUCUAAACGGAAGGUUGUGAAGAUGUUUAUCAUCGUAGUUGUGAUAUUCGCCAUCUGUUGGCUACCUUAUCAAGGGUUUUUUAUUUUCGUUUAUCAUCACAAGCAUUUGGCGGAAAAUAGCAACAUCCAACAUGUUUAUUUAAGUUUCUAUUGGCUCGCCAUGUCAAAUGCCAUGGUAAAUCCUAUCAUAUACUACUGGAUGAACAAUAGGUUUCGGCUCUAUUUCCAACUAAUAAUAUGCAAACGUACAAACUGCGACGAUUCCCCAAUGCAUGACUUUGUAAAACGAACAGAUGUGAUACCUUAUAACUCAGGUCGUCUUAAAUCCGCUUCGAUACGUUGGAAGCGUAACAUGGCAAAGACACAGAUGCAAAAUAUACGAAUGCGAUCUAUAUGUAUAAACGAUCACAAACAAGACACAACUACCGUCUGAUAAAUAACAUAUAAAUAACAUAAUAAACAAAUUUUUUUGUAAAUAGUAAAAUCUUAUGAUGAUUAGUUUUUCGUUGGUCGGAGCUGUGUAAGAUAUUUUGUGUAAUUGGAAAUUUAACGCAAAGUUGUAGGUUAUCGGUUUGUUUUCCUUUGUAUAAAUUGCCCUGCGAGCAUGAAUGGACGAUGCAUCUGGAGAAAUGGACUGUGACGAAUAACAACGAGCAGCAAGAGGAUUAACAAGAGGAAGAAGGAAAAGAACGUUUAAUCGUUGAUAAUGAGAAAAUGUAUUAUCUGGUUGGUUGCGUGCGAGCGUGAGAGAAAAAGUGUGAAAUGAGGGAAGGGCUGGGAGAAGUAUCUUGUAAAUGUGUAAAUAACAAGUGUAAAUAAAAUAAUUUGGAAAUGUGAAACGUUUUGCUUAAAACAAGUAAUGAUAAGAGCGUAAAAAUAUGGGGUGAAAAGACGAGGUGUGUAAUAAAGACGCGUAAAUAAAAUAAACGCGUUGCUAACUUGGGUGCGUGGAAGGGUGGAGCAGGAAAGGUAAUAGCGAUGUUAAUUGAGCAUGGGAAUUUGUCAAAACAUGGGUUAGUUUUGUUAGAAAAUUGUAAAAUAUGUAAAAAGAUUGUAGAAGUUAGAUGCGUGAAAGUUGAAAGAAGUAAGAAAAGAAGGAAAAGAGAGUAUAAAAUGAUAAUAGGUAAUACGUAAGGCAAUAUAAUUUUCUGGAUGGUAAAAGAAUGGAUUUGUUUGGAUUCUAGGAGACUAAAGAAUAAAUAAAGAUCCAUUUAGGAGAUA